AUCGCUUCUCGGCCUUUUGGCUAAGCUCAAGUGUAGUAUCAAGUGAAGAAUAACCAAAACCUAGAGACAGUCCAGAUGUCUAUCAAGUAUAUUUAUGGAGGUAAUUUGUAUAAUAGAAUACAAGUAGGCAAUGGAAACCAAUGGAUUGAUGCUAGACACAGCAACAUGA
This is a small nuclear RNA of Oryctolagus cuniculus (rabbit), 169 nucleotides long. Its record names the gene U2. It matches the Rfam family "U2 spliceosomal RNA". Rfam says of the family: U2 is a small nuclear RNA (snRNA) component of the spliceosome (involved in pre-mRNA splicing). Complementary binding between U2 snRNA (in an area lying towards the 5' end but 3' to hairpin I) and the branchpoint sequence (BPS) of the intron results the bulging out of an unpaired adenosine, on the BPS, which initiates a nucleophilic attack at the intronic 5' splice site, thus starting the first of two transesterification reactions that mediate splicing. Lineage: Eukaryota; Metazoa; Chordata; Mammalia; Lagomorpha; Leporidae. The record is from Ensembl.